RNAcentral lists this ribosomal RNA (240 nucleotides) under uncultured bacterium. RNAcentral's name for it is "partial 16S ribosomal RNA". It matches the Rfam family "Bacterial small subunit ribosomal RNA", at positions 523 to 762 of the family's 1533-position model. The record is from RNAcentral.
AUACGUAGGGGGCGAGCGUUGUCCGGAUUUACUGGGCGUAAAGGGUGAGUAGGCGGUUGUAUAUGUCAGAUGUAAAAGGCUAUGGCUUAACUAUAGUAAGCAUUUGAAACUGUACAACUUGAGUGGCAGGAGAGGUAAGUGGAAUUCCUAGUGUAGCGGUGAAAUGCGUAGAUAUUUGGAGGAACACCGGUGGCGAAGGCGGCUUUCUGGACUGUAACUGACGCUGAGGCGCGAGAGCGU